Long non-coding RNA from Polypterus senegalus (gray bichir), 558 nucleotides. RefSeq lists it as uncharacterized. The transcript has 3 exons. The record is from RefSeq and is a predicted model, not a curated record. NCBI's taxonomy places the organism in Eukaryota, Metazoa, Chordata, Cladistia, Polypteriformes, Polypteridae.
CUUAUUCAAGACCUGAGUGCCUUCACAUCGGGGGGCAAAUUAAGUGUGCAUGCAUGAGAGGGUAGACUGAGAUUUUGAAAGUGUCACUAAAUAGUUUGCCACGUACUUAACAGACGGAGCAGCUGUCGGCUGUCAGCCCUGCCGAGUCCUCGGUGAAUGUGUCCAUCUCUCCUUUUUCCACUGGCCACAGGUUGCGAGGGGCAUUAGGUGCAAAGAAAGUCCAAGUUCCUGACAAACUCCCAGGUCACUUUAGGCAUUCGUAAUCAGAUUGGAUCGAUUUAAAGUCAGCAGCUUAUCUAGCAUGCAUAUGUUUGGGAUGGCAGGAAAUCACAGCACCUGCAGAAAACCCAUGAGACUCAGGAAAAAACACAAAGACUCUCCAUGGAACUGUAAGGCAUCAGCUCCAACCUUUGGAUCUCCAUUCCACUGCUGCCUAGAGGUAAGAAAGAAAAUAAUAGUCCAGACAUCAGCAUUUCUUUCUAAGAGAAACAAAAUCACAGUGGCAGCAGACAGAAUCUCAUGCUGCCUAUAGACAUUAUUCCUGUUCUCCAUAACAAU